AGGGGUGUAGCUCAGUGGUAGAGUGCAUGCUUAGCAUGCACAAGGUCCUAGGUUCAAUCCCCAGUACCUCCA
RNAcentral lists this transfer RNA (72 nucleotides) under Camelus bactrianus (Bactrian camel). It matches the Rfam family "tRNA". From Rfam's summary of the family: Transfer RNA (tRNA) molecules are approximately 80 nucleotides in length. Their secondary structure includes four short double-helical elements and three loops (D, anti-codon, and T loops). Further hydrogen bonds mediate the characteristic L-shaped molecular structure. tRNAs have two regions of fundamental functional importance: the anti-codon, which is responsible for specific mRNA codon recognition, and the 3' end, to which the tRNAs corresponding amino acid is attached (by aminoacyl-tRNA synthetases). tRNAs cope with the degeneracy of the genetic code in two manners: having more than one tRNA (with a specific anti-codon) for a particular amino acid; and 'wobble' base-pairing, i.e. permitting non-standard base-pairing at the 3rd anti-codon position. Lineage: Eukaryota; Metazoa; Chordata; Mammalia; Artiodactyla; Camelidae. The record is from Rfam by way of RNAcentral. RNAcentral also lists the same sequence under 2 other names.